CGGGGUGUCUGAAUGUGCGGAU
Molecule: non-coding RNA, 22 nt
Filed under: Arabidopsis thaliana (thale cress)
Lineage: Eukaryota; Viridiplantae; Streptophyta; Magnoliopsida; Brassicales; Brassicaceae
Source: RNAcentral